GCUGGGUGUGGUGGUGCGUGCCUGUAAUCCCAGCUACUUGGGAGGCUGAGGCAGGAGAAUCACUUGACCCCAGGAGGCAGAGGUUGCAGUGAGCCAAGAUCAUCCCACUGUACUCUGGCCUGGGAGACAGAGUGAGACUCUGUCUCAA
Molecule: unclassified non-coding RNA, 148 nt
Organism: Pongo abelii (Sumatran orangutan)
Lineage: Eukaryota; Metazoa; Chordata; Mammalia; Primates; Hominidae
Rfam family: Metazoan signal recognition particle RNA
About the family: The signal recognition particle (SRP) is a universally conserved ribonucleoprotein. It is involved in the co-translational targeting of proteins to membranes.
Source: Ensembl